This is a non-coding RNA of Triticum urartu, 115 nucleotides long. The record is from Rfam. NCBI's taxonomy places the organism in Eukaryota, Viridiplantae, Streptophyta, Magnoliopsida, Poales, Poaceae.
UAAAUACUCCCUCCGUUCCGAAUUACUUGUUGCAAGUAUGGAUGUAUCUAGAUGUAUUUUAGUUCUAGAUACAUCCAUUUCUGCGACGAGUAAUUUGGAACGGAGGGAGUAGUAU